UGUGUCAAAAGACAAAAAAAUUUCGUCGACGAAAUGAUUUUGUGUUUUGAGUCUUUUUGACAUAAAAUCAUUUCGUCUCCUCUGUCUCGAAGGGGACAUAAGAAGGUCGCUGAUUGGCUGCACCUUGCUCAAGCUGUUUUCGCUCCGGGAUCGGACGGACGAUCACACUUUUUCACAGCUCAGAUUGGCAUGUUGAUGAACUUAUUAGCUUAGAUUUCACGUUAUUCAUGCCUACAUGAGCUGCAUACAACUGCUCUAAUCGGUAGGAUGUGGACGGACAUUGCAUUCAUUCCCAUUCAGCCGUUGGACUGAACCGGUACUGUCUGUAACACAGUAUGGAUGGUCAAUAUGAAGCGAGCUUCAUUGAAUUCCUCCAAGAGCUCUGUACUCCGUUCUGAUAAUUUUGAAGAUGGUUGCUUUGACAGGACUGGGCAAGUGACUCGUCUUAGACAAGAUGCUGUCCCAACCAUGUUUGAUUUCCUGCCUCGUCUUCAGAAGAAUUCACCAAACCAAGGAAUUCCCCGAAAGAAAGAUGUUUUGAUUCAGCAAACAACCUCCCAGAUACUGCAAAGACACCUGUACCAAAGUCUUCAGCACCUUUAUUUCUCAAGGACCACUACUACUCAAUAUCAGAAAGUCCAAGAGGGGUAAAGUGGAAGUUAACAGCAAUAAUGGACUGUAUUAAGAACUUGGAGAAGAGGCUGAAAACCACACACGAGAAGUCCCGCCGUGUACAUUACUUGCUCUUAAGUUUGGACAAACAUAACUUGCAAAACUUUACAACAAAUAAUUACCCCAAUGUGCAUUCUGAUUAUUUAAAAUAGCUUAUCAGUGGGCAUGUAACA
Molecule: long non-coding RNA, 845 nt
Organism: Lytechinus pictus (painted urchin)
Lineage: Eukaryota; Metazoa; Echinodermata; Echinoidea; Temnopleuroida; Toxopneustidae
Exons: 3
Source: RefSeq, a predicted model, not a curated record